UAAACUUUAUACUGCUUGUCCAGACAUAUUUUACCUUCCUUCUUGUUUAUCUACAAGGCACAUGACUAAUGUUUGGCCUUCUUCAGCUCUUCUGUGGAUUACUGUCCAUAUCUAAUAAAAGCGGGACUGAGGGGUUGUUUGGGGCAACAGUCUUUUCUACUGUUGUCCCCUGCUCCCUCUCUCUUGCAGCUGACUUGUUUGUGCCUCGUUCUUCUCCCGUGCACCGUCAGGAAGCGGCAAGUGGUGCCCGAACAGGGACCAAAAUGAAACAGGAGAAGAAACCCCAAUGUGAGUUUUUGCAUGGCCGUGCCUUUUUCCUGCUGUAUAUGUUUUGCAGCACAUCGAAACUGCUACUGUUUCUACCUCUGAUGUGAUAUGAUGACCCUCAUCACAGCCAUGCAGGCGAAAAUUCUUCCAACGACUGAUGGAUCAAGAAGUUACAAAAUUGACUUUUCUUCUUCUGCACAAACAAAAAGAGGGAGAUGCAACUAUCCCUCAGAACAAUGUAUUACUUAACAUAUAACCCAUGGGAAAUUUUACUACUUACCAAGCACGUUUAGAUACAGCCUUAAGAAAUACACAUACUGGCAACAGGUCUCUGGGGGAGAGGAUGGUAUAUGGCCUUGAAGCCAAGCAGCUGGGAACGCCCAGCCCACUCAGGGCAGAAGGUCCUCUGCUUCAUUUUUCCAUUAUCUCCGCCCCCUGCCCCCCUCCCCCACCCCAGCCCCAGAGCGCCUGUGGCUAGUUAAAUAAGUCCUUUGAAUGUGCUUGUUCAACUAUAAACUUUAUACGGCUUGUCCAGGAUUUUGCCCUCCUUGUUUAUCUACAAGGCGCAUGACUAAACUUUGGCCUUCUUUGGCUCUUCUGUGGAUUACUGUCCAUAUCUAAUAAAAGCGGGGCUGAGGAGUUGUUCGGGGCAACAGUCUUUUCCACUGUUAGCCCCUGCUCCCUUUCUCUUGCAGCUGACUUGUUUGUGCCUCAUUCUUCUCCCUUGCAUCAUCAGGAAGUGGCAAUGGAGGGGAACCUGGGUGGCUCAUUUGGUUAAGGGACCGACUCUAAAUUUUGGCUAAAGUCAUGAUCUCAGGGUUGUGAGAUCAAGCCCUGCUUCAGGCUUUAUGCUGGGUGUGCAGCUUGCUUAAGAUUCUCUCUCUUCCUCACUCGCCCCCUUUCCCUCGCUCUCUUAAGUAAAAAUAAAUGAAUUAAUAAGUUAAUUAAUUAAAACAAAACAAAACAUAACAAAACACUAGACAGACCUUCAGCACCAUGCUUCGGGAGCCAUUUUAAGCAACAAAAUCUGCCCCCCUCUCCAAGUACAGAAAUGUGAAAACCAUGGCACUAAGCAGAUUGAAAAAAAUUUUUUUGUUCACACUGUGGGCAUUUAAACAAAAAACAGAGCAUUGCUUUGUUCGUCCUCAGUUGGCAACAUGCAAGUUAGAAAUUCUAAUUUUUUUUAUGACUCUAUUCAUGUUAACUAUGAAAAGACCAGGUUGAUUUGGGGGUUACAAAUAAAUUCUUGCAAGCAAAUGAAUCCUGAAACAUGUAAUCCAUGAAUAAUUGGG
Molecule: long non-coding RNA, 1559 nt
Organism: Mustela lutreola (European mink)
Lineage: Eukaryota; Metazoa; Chordata; Mammalia; Carnivora; Mustelidae
Exons: 3
Source: RefSeq, a predicted model, not a curated record